This 468-nucleotide ribosomal RNA is filed under the name uncultured bacterium. Its description in RNAcentral is "partial 16S ribosomal RNA". It matches the Rfam family "Bacterial small subunit ribosomal RNA", at positions 28 to 507 of the family's 1533-position model. The record is from RNAcentral.
GACGAACGCUGGCGGCGUGCUUAACACAUGCAAGUCGAACGGAAAGGCCCUGCUUUUGUUGGGUGCUCGAGUGGCGAACGGGUGAGUAACACGUGAGUAACCUGCCCUUGACUUUGGGGUAACUUCAGGAAACUGGGGCUAAUAUCGGGUAGGAGCUCCUGCUGCAUGGCGGGGGUUGGAAAGUUUCGGCGGUUGGGGAUGAACUCGCGGCUUAUCAGCUUGUUGGUGGGGUAGUGGCUUACCAAGGCUUUGACGGGUAGCCGGCCUGAGAGGGUGACCGGCCACAUUGGGACUGAGACACGGCCCAGACUCCUACGGGAGGCAGCAGUGGGGAAUAUUGCACAAUGGGCGGAAGCCUGAUGCAGCAACGCCGCGUGAGGGAUGACGGCCUUCGGGUUGUAAACCGCUUUCGCCUGUGAAGAAGCGAGAGUGACGGUAAUGGGUAAAGAAGCACCGGCUAACUACGUG